Osmia lignaria (orchard mason bee) is the source of this 2019-nucleotide long non-coding RNA. RefSeq lists it as uncharacterized. The record is from RefSeq and is a predicted model, not a curated record. Lineage: Eukaryota; Metazoa; Arthropoda; Insecta; Hymenoptera; Megachilidae.
AGCGGUGCUAGGAUGCAUCCAAGAUGUGCAACGGUGCAAGUGUCCUCUCCUCGAGAGACGUCUGCAUUCUUUGCGAAGCUGCUGUUUAUUCACCGUUGUGGAUAUUGGUGUGAAGACAUCUGGUAAAAAAAAAAUCUUUCAUCAGUUUAUCUAGGACUUUUACCUCUCUCCUUCAAUGGAACGUAUUUGAUGUAUUGCUUGAUUAACUAUGCGGAUGGAUCGUGUAUCAGCAGACUAUUCGAUCGUUCAACAGCUCCUAAAUUGAGGGAUCUUGUUAGAUCUUGUUAAUUCUUAAUUUUAUAUACACCUAUUCUAACGAUCGUUUCAAUUUAUUUUGUAAAUUACACAGAACCUCUACGAGCGGUGAACUGAGAAACGGCCCAUUAAUUAAAGAUUAUGCUAAAGAAUUUUUUAAACUUGUCCCUGAAAGACAGACGAGCAGACACGUUUGAUAGAAAUGGCUGCAUCGUCGCCUCGUCGGAGGAGCAUACACACUCAAAAUGGCAUUUCUGUACUCGACAACUGUGCCAUUCAGAUAUUACAAUGAAACGUAUCUUUCAGGUGGACUUUGCUGUAAGAACUUCGUCAGCAAUGCCAAGGACCUUUCAUCUCUGCACCAAGACGAUUGUUCCUGUUUGCAUGCACUAUGUUAGUCUAGUCACGUCAAGUUCAUCUAUGUUUAGAUCACAAUAACACAACACUCGUACAGAUUCAGUACCAUGGAUGAAAGGCUUCCACAUAGAAAAUGGACCCCUUGGAUGUUCCUCUAAGGAAGUGUGCUCUCCUCGCUACUGUCUGAAAAAUUGAACAAAUUAGUAAAGUUAUGUAUUUUCAAUUUGACUAAAGGAAAUUUAAUUAUUCAUAGUCGUAGAUUAAGUAAAUAUUGAGGUAACGUGCGAAAGUUUGUAGAUAGACUUACAGUAUUCAAAAGUAUGAAUGAAGUGUUUGCUGUACUUUCUUGGAUCGGAGAUUAACUUGUAUUAAUUUGUUGACUUAGAAAUAUUAAAUAACCGAUGAAGAAACAGAGGGCUGACAUAAUUCUUCAUUGAGUGAAGUGGUUGAUUUCACAGCAUAAUUUGCAUCUACAAAUUAUCAGCCCACUACAUUAAUAUUAUAAAUGUAUCUACAGAAAAAUUAUAGACAGUCAACGUGUUAUACAGGAUGACCUAAUAAAAAAUCCUUGCUGGGAUCAUUAAAAAAAAGACAGCUCUCUGUCUGAUAUUUAUCUUCCUCAAUCAUUGAGUACCAAAAUUCGCCUAUUUUUAUCCGAUUUCGAAAAAGGAGGAGGUUACUCAAUUCGAUCAGUAUAUAUAUAUAUUUUUUUUUACAAGCGUCCUUUGCAAUGUGGAGAGAGUAUCGGAUGCCAAUCGCUACCAGCGGAGACGCGGUAGCCGCAGGCAUCCUCGGUGUCUUCUUCGUUCCCGGCGCAUCUUCUGAAAUGGCAAGGUCACCGGUAGUUACGUCACCAACUUUCCUCGGCACCUCUUAACGCGUACAGCACGACGAGAAAACUAAAUGUCACAAUUACCAAGGACGCUCGACCGCGUGUUCGAAUACCUCCAGGCAUCUGCCAACAAACGACGAGGGCGAUGAAGCGAUGCCUGAUGAAUUACGAGGAUCAUAAUGCAGCGGUGCGUGUGCAUCCGCGGCUCCCAGGUGGUUCGACCUCGUCACCUUGCCAGUAGAUGACUGUUUUAUCGUCGACACCAGUGAAGUAAAUCAAUCGAACCCGUGAUCGUAGCCGCAGACCCGAAGAAGGAUCCGCGAAGGAUUGCUCGAUGGAACGUCGAAACGUAAAGUUCACGUCUGUAAACUUUAAAUCGCCUGACCGAGCGGAUACCAUUCAAAGUGUUAAAACUCGGUCAGAUACGUAUUUCGAAACCUAUCAGUCAAUUAGAAUUGAUUUUUAAUAAAUUCUGAUAAUUUUCAUGAAAUUACAUUAGACUUUCUGUUUCCAAAUCGGUCAAUUGAUCUGAAUUAAUGUUAAUAUUAAUCUCCAAUAAAACGUAUCAUCGUUAA